RNAcentral lists this ribosomal RNA (433 nucleotides) under uncultured bacterium. RNAcentral describes it as "partial 16S ribosomal RNA". It matches the Rfam family "Bacterial small subunit ribosomal RNA", at positions 29 to 507 of the family's 1533-position model. The record is from RNAcentral.
AACGAACGCUGGCGGCAUGCCUAACACAUGCAAGUCGAACGAGACCUUCGGGUCUAGUGGCGCACGGGUGCGUAACGCGUGGGAACCUGCCCUUAGGUUCGGAAUAACUCCCCGAAAGGGGUGCUAAUACCGGAUAAUGUCUUCGGACCAAAGAUUUAUCGCCUUUGGAUGGGCCCGCGUUGGAUUAGCUAGUUGGUAGGGUAAAAGCCUACCAAGGCGACGAUCCAUAGCUGGUCUGAGAGGAUGAUCAGCCACACUGGAACUGAGACACGGCCCAGACUCCUACGGGAGGCAGCAGUGAGGAAUAUUGGACCAUGGGCGAAAGACUGAUCCAGCAAUGCCGCGUGAGUGAUGAAGGCCUUAGGGUUGUAAAGCUCUUUUACCCGGGAUGAUAAUGACAGUACCGGGAGAAUAAGCACCGGCUAACUCCGUG